UCGGGACUCUGAGACAGGUGCUGCAUGGCUGUCGUCAGCUCGUGUUGAGAAAUGUUGGGUUAAGUCCCGCAACGAGCGCAACCCUUAUCCUUUGUUGCCAGCGGUUAGGCCGGGAACUCAAAGGAGACUGCCAGUGAUAAACUGGAUGAAGGUGGGGAUGACGUCAAGUCAUCAUGGCCCUUACGAGUAGGGCUACACACGUGCUACAAUGGCGCAUACAAAGAGAAGCGACCUCGCGAGAGCAAGCGGACCUCAUAAAGUGCGUCGUAGUCCGGAUUGGAGUCUGCAACUCGACUCCAUGAAGUCGGAAUCGCUAGUAAUCGUAGAUCAGAAUGCUACGGUGAAUACGUUCCCGGGUCUUGUACACACCG
RNAcentral lists this ribosomal RNA (371 nucleotides) under Enterobacter asburiae. RNAcentral describes it as "bacterial SSU rRNA". It matches the Rfam family "Bacterial small subunit ribosomal RNA", at positions 1021 to 1392 of the family's 1533-position model. Lineage: Bacteria; Pseudomonadati; Pseudomonadota; Gammaproteobacteria; Enterobacterales; Enterobacteriaceae. The record is from RNAcentral.